Molecule: long non-coding RNA, 1351 nt
Organism: Nilaparvata lugens (brown planthopper)
Lineage: Eukaryota; Metazoa; Arthropoda; Insecta; Hemiptera; Delphacidae
Exons: 6
Source: RefSeq, a predicted model, not a curated record
ACAACAAAAGAUAAUCUCAAAGCUUGUAAGGUUCCAAGGAGGCUGGUGGCCAAAGUAGAUGCUGCAGUGGAGGAGGCUCUGGAGAUGCAAGAUAUUUUCAUCUAAGUGAGUAGAAGAAAGAGAUAAUUGUGAGGAGUACUCUGGAGAGAAGGGUGCAGUUUCAGACACUGCGAUGUGUGAUGAUCUCAAUGGCAAAGAGGCGUUUAAAUGAGGAAGCAGCUGCUAAACCUCCAAAGAGGAGGUGCAUUGGUGAUGCACCGCCACCUGGCCUAAGACGAUCGGAGAGGAUUAAGCAGCUAAAUGUGCUCCAACGAUGUUUAUAGAAUUUGUUUCCAUGUGCAGUGGCUGGGGGAUGGGAGGCAUUCCUGGGUUAGCCUCUCUUAUUUGGUGCCCUUUGAGAGGGCACCAACCCCCCAACAGACACCCUACACUAUGUUGAAGAAUUACAUCAUAACUGUUGCUCCAACGAUGUCGUUAGGGUGCCACUCUAUGUGCGGUGGUUGUGGGAUGGGAGGCACACGUGGGUUGGCCUCUCUUAUUUGGUGCCCUUUGAGAGGGCACCAACCCCCCAACAGACACCCUUCACGAUGUUAAAGAACUAUGUCAUAACUGAAACGUGACAGCCUGGCAACCCGGGGAAGAAGAGAGGGGGCCUUCAAUACUGCUGAUGAGCUUCAACAAGCUUCAACAAUGUAUGCGAUUUCCAGUCUUUGGCUUAGAAAAUUUUAAAAUUUCAUCGAGCCCGGCGCAGUAGAGAACAACGAUUUAUUUUGCUCGCAUGCCCCCUGCGUUUACAAGGACCAUAAACAAAUUUUGCACAAAUGAUGUUGAGCUAAUUCCCCAAGCUGGCUGAGCUAGUUCCUACGAAGACCCCUACUCAAAUAAGAGAACAGGCAAGAAGGUUCAAUAAUUUCCCCUUAUUCGACAUCUUCCAGUUGGAUAUCAGCGAUGUUGGGGGUGAAGCGACUGACAGGACCUGUGAUAUGGAAUCUGGGGAUGAUUUAGGGGAUGGCAACAAGAUGAUAUCCACACAGGAUAGUGUUGACACCCCUGCAAUUGGACUAGUUUGCCCGCAAUUGGACGGUGGCCCCGUUUGCCCGCUGGAUUCUGUGGUUGAAUGUGAGGUAUGUGGAAACAAAAUGGAAGGCCAGUCAGAGUAAGUACUAUCUCUUUCUCUAAGUUUAAGGCAAAAGUCUAACGAGACUCGGAAUUAUAACAAAUAGGUGACCCUAGGAUUUCUAGUGGAAAGCACUAGUGUGGGCAAAAAUUUACCCAGAAUAAUUUUCAUUUCAGGCCGCUUCUCGGCCUGUGGCCCCGUGCAAACUCGUAUCUUGGCAACAUUGAUGCAAGA